This 395-nucleotide ribosomal RNA is filed under the name uncultured bacterium. RNAcentral describes it as "partial 16S ribosomal RNA". It matches the Rfam family "Bacterial small subunit ribosomal RNA", at positions 523 to 918 of the family's 1533-position model. The record is from RNAcentral.
AUACGGCAGGUCCGGGCGUUAUCCGGAUUUAUUGGGUUUAAAGGGAGCGCAGGCGGAGAUGCAAGCGUGACGUCAAAUUUCGGGGCUCAACCCCGUCUCGCGUCGCGAACUGCGUCCCUUGGUUGCGGGAAGGGGAGGCGGAACUCGUGGUGUAGCGGUGAAAUGCGUAGAGAUUGGGGGUAACACCAGUGGGGAGGGCGACUUACGGGACUGUAACUGUCGCUGAGGCGCGAAAGUGUGGGGAGCAAACAGGAGUAGAUACCCUGGUAGGCCACGCGGUAAACGAUGAUCACUAGGUGUUGGCACGCAUAGCGUGUCGGCGCCGCAGCAAACGCAAUAAGUGAUCCGCCUGGGGAGUCCGUUCGCAAGAAGGAAACUCAAAUGGAUUGACGGGG